CACGUAGGGCGCAAGCGUUGUCCGGAAUUAUUGGGCGUAAAGAGCUCGUAGGCGGUUUGUCGCGUCUGCUGUGAAAACCUAAGGCUCAACCUUGGGCUUGCAGUGGGUACGGGCAGACUAGAGUGCGGUAGGGGUGACUGGAAUUCCUGGUGUAGCGGUGAAAUGCGCAGAUAUCAGGAGGAACACCGGUGGCGAAGGCGGGUCUCUGGGCCGUAACUGACGCUGAGGAGCGAAAGCGUGGGGAGUGAACAGG
This 253-nucleotide ribosomal RNA is filed under the name uncultured bacterium. RNAcentral's name for it is "partial 16S ribosomal RNA". It matches the Rfam family "Bacterial small subunit ribosomal RNA", at positions 524 to 776 of the family's 1533-position model. The record is from RNAcentral.